Molecule: ribosomal RNA, 591 nt
Filed under: uncultured bacterium
Lineage: Bacteria
Description: partial 16S ribosomal RNA
Rfam family: Bacterial small subunit ribosomal RNA
Source: RNAcentral
UGGGGAAUCUUCCGCAAUGGACGAAAGUCUGACGGAGCAACGCCGCGUGAGUGAAGAAGGUUUUCGGAUCGUAAAACUCUGUCUUUUGGGGCGAACGUGAGUAUGGUGAACAAUCAUAGUCAGUGACGGUACCAAAGGAGGAAGCCACGGCUAACUACGUGCCAGCAGCCGCGGUAAUACGUAGGUGGCAAGCGUUGUCCGGAAUUAUUGGGCGUAAAGAGCGCGUAGGCGGGAUAGUCAGUCUGUUGUAAAAGUGCGGGGCUCAACCCCGUGAUGGCAAUGGAAACAGCUAUUCUUGAGUGCAGGAGAGGAAAGUGGAAUUCCCAGUGUAGCGGUGAAAUGCGUAGAUAUUGGGAGGAACACCAGUGGCGAAGGCGACUUUCUGGACUGUGUCUGACGCUGAGGCGCGAAAGCCAGGGGAGCGAACGGGAUUAGAUACCCCGGUAGUCCUGGCCGUAAACGAUGGGUACUAGGUGUGGGAGGUAUCGACCCCUUCCGUGCCGGAGUUAACGCAAUAAGUACCCCCGCCUGGGGAGUACGGUCGCAAGACUGAAACUCAAAGGAAUUGACGGGGGUCAUAGCUGUUUCCUG